Molecule: ribosomal RNA, 225 nt
Filed under: uncultured bacterium
Lineage: Bacteria
Description: partial 16S ribosomal RNA
Rfam family: Bacterial small subunit ribosomal RNA
Source: RNAcentral
CUUCCCUUGAGCGGGGGAUAACGUUUCGAAAGAGACGCUAAUACCGCAUAAGACCACGACCGGUUCGCCGGUUGCGGUCAAAGCUGGCCUCUUCUUGAAAGCUAGCACUCGAGGACGAGCCUGCGGCCCAUCAUGCUAGUUGGUAGGGUAACGGCCUACCAAGGCGAAGACGGGUAGCUGGUCUGAGAGGAUGAUCAGCCACACUGGAACUGAAACACGGUCCAG